GAUGAACGCUAGCGGGAGGCUUAAUACAUGCAAGUCGAACGGUAAGGUCUAGCUUGCUAGAUACACGAGUGGCGCACGGGUGAGUAACGCGUACACAAUCUACCCUUCAGUGGGGAAUAGCCCCGGGAAACUGGGAUUAAUGCCCCAUAGUAUUAUUUUUUUAUAUAAUUAAUAAUUAAAGCUCCGGCGCUGAAGGAUGAGUGUGCGUCCCAUUAGCUAGUUGGUAAGGUAACGGCUUACCAAGGCGACGAUGGGUAGGGGGCGUGAGAGCGUGGCCCCCCACACGGGUACUGAGACACGGACCCGACUCCUACGGGAGGCAGCAGUAAGGAAUAUUGGACAAUGGGCGAAAGCCUGAUCCAGCCAUCCCGCGUGCAGGAUGACGGCCCUAUGGGUUGUAAACUGCUUUUUUAUGGGAAGAAAAACUCUCAUUUAUGAGAGACUGACGGUACCAUACGAAUAAGCACCGGCUAACUCCG
RNAcentral lists this ribosomal RNA (479 nucleotides) under uncultured Saprospiraceae bacterium. RNAcentral describes it as "bacterial SSU rRNA". It matches the Rfam family "Bacterial small subunit ribosomal RNA", at positions 28 to 505 of the family's 1533-position model. The record is from RNAcentral. Lineage: Bacteria; Pseudomonadati; Bacteroidota; Saprospiria; Saprospirales; Saprospiraceae.